Molecule: non-coding RNA, 106 nt
Organism: Dendrothele bispora CBS 962.96
Lineage: Eukaryota; Fungi; Basidiomycota; Agaricomycetes; Agaricales
Source: the annotation of a GenBank genome assembly
UCCCUGGUAGUGUAUCGGUUAGUACACGCGCCUGUCAUCAUCAAACUUUAGCGCCGUAGCUUUACUAAAGACGCGCGAAAGCUGGGUUCGACUCCCAGCCAGGGAG